Molecule: long non-coding RNA, 564 nt
Organism: Xenopus laevis (African clawed frog)
Lineage: Eukaryota; Metazoa; Chordata; Amphibia; Anura; Pipidae
Exons: 3
Source: RefSeq, a predicted model, not a curated record
UGGGAUAGGUAGAGAAGAGGAUCAAGAACCAGGUCCUGAGGGACUUGCAGGCCAUUCUGAAGCUACCUGAGGGUGAGCGGAGGAGGGAUUUUUUAUCCUUUGGCAAAGAUAUGCUGUCCGUUUUGAUAGCUGUGGGGACAGCUAGGGGACAAGCAUACGCACAGGCAGCUGGGGACUCAGUGGCGCUUAGUCACAGAGCAGCAGUGCAGAGGCCGGAGCGGAGCGGCGAAGCGCAGCUUCACUUCCGGGUUGUGACGUACGAUGACGUCACUUCUGGAUACACGCGUUUGGAUGGCGCGAACACUGGAAGCAGCUGUUACGCCCUAUGAUUGGCCAUAGACUUAGCGAGUGAGCACUUCGGCUGCGCCCGUAACGAAGGAAGUUCCAGGGGAGCUGUUUGAUAUGGCUGAAAGAUACCGGCAAUUAAAGAUAAAGAAGGAUAGCGAAAGAGACCUAAUACCCAGCAAGGGAUGCUGGCGAGAAAACUUUUGAUUUCAGAGUAUGAAUAUCACUCUUACUAAAGAAGAGGUUUUUCUAAGCAACUGAUUAAACAUUUUGAAUGGU